CAGCAGCCGCGGUAAUACGUAGGGUCCGAGCGUUGUCCGGAAUUAUUGGGCGUAAAGGGCUCGUAGGCGGUUUGUCGCGUCGGGAGUGAAAACCAGCAGCUUAACUGCUGGCCUGCUUUCGAUACGGGCAGACUUGAGGCAUUCAGGGGAGAACGGAAUUCCUGGUGUAGCGGUGAAAUGCGCAGAUAUCAGGAGGAACACCGGUGGCGAAGGCGGUUCUCUGGGAAUGUUCUGACGCUGAGGAGCGAAAGUGUGGGGAGCGAACAGGAUUAGAUACCCCAGUAGUCCCUGUCUCUUAUAC
This 301-nucleotide ribosomal RNA is filed under the name uncultured bacterium. RNAcentral's name for it is "partial 16S ribosomal RNA". It matches the Rfam family "Bacterial small subunit ribosomal RNA", at positions 509 to 807 of the family's 1533-position model. The record is from RNAcentral.